GUACUGCAGAGUCCUAUCGCAUUCCAGUAGUUGUCAACGUCGACAGAGGGUCUCUAUUUGAGAAGGAAAGUAUUUACAGCAAGUUAUAAUUGUUCGCAAAGCAUCAAAAGAAUCCGUAAUAUUGUUACAGAAAAAGCCUAAGAUGAUGACAAUCGUGGUAUUAGUUGUCAUAUGUGCAUGCUGUUUUAAAGAUUCUUUAGCCAGUCAUAAUCCAUAUACACCAACUGAAUACCAGACGAAGAUUGCUCAAGGACUUUCCACGAACUAUUUCAAAACCCUCAAUUUCAAUAAGUACAACAGAAAAAACUUAGAUGAUGUUUACGAACGAGGUUUCAGGAAUUUACGAUUAAGAUGUAGAGCAGAGCUUAAUAAUUUGAACAUGACCGUCUUUUUAAACAAUUUAGAGACUGUCGUGGACGAUUGUCUUGCUACGGACAUUGCUCCAAUAGUUUCUUGGAUCCAUCACGAAGCCGAAGCCUUCGCUACUGAAUCACAUCGAAUAAAAUAUUUGGAGUGGUGGACAAGUGUUGCAGAAAAGUUGAAAGAUAAAGACUAUAGACUUUCAUUCAAUCUAUUUACAGAACUGGGAGUCGACUCAUGUGGAAAUGCAUGCGCAGAAAGUCUCAGAGAAAACACAGCAAAAUACAACGAUUGGACAUCUGCUGUCGUAAAAAAGAUAAGAGAAUCCGGCGGUAAAAAUGAUAAACGUAUCGUUAUUCUAGGUUCUCCAAAGAAAACAGCAAAGGGGUUAGAAGAAAUAGACCAAAAUAUUUAUAAAAACGAUCAUUAUAUGAUGGCAGAGUGGCAUAUCUAUGCAUCCGGACCAAAUAAAAAACUAAAAAAACAACGGAAAUCCAGGUCAAAAAUAUUGGGAUGGGACUGGCGACCAUUUCGGAAAAAGCAAUGUCAUGACUGCUAUCGGAUAUGCCAACUAUUUUACAUCAUUUUACAAUUUGACCACUUAUCUUGGUGCUUGGAUGCCACAAGCUAAUGAAAACGGGGACUUGAACCAAACGGAAAUCAUUAAUUUUGGAAAAUAUUUUGUCCAAGUAAUCAAACCGAUCCCUUGGUCUAUGAAUGUUCUUGAUACAUACUACGAUACAAAGAACAGCGAUUGGAUAUUAGAUAAACAGUUUAUCAAAGGUCAGUCAUUGAAUAUGUCACGUGUUCUGGAUGAAAUUAUAUCGGUUAUGUAAUGUAUUCAAAGAAAAAUACCUUCUUCCAUGGUACUAUCGUGCUCAUCAAUAAUAUGAACAUGUAAGACAUUUAAUAAAAACUGUAUCGUUUAUUCAACAUUGAAAAAACUGUCCGAGGAAUUUUGAAAUACUGAUAAGAAAUGAAGUUCCUGUCAUAUGAUAAUGAACAAAAAACUAGAAAUACGAGAUGUGCAGUAUUUUUGAAUAGCAGAAAUUUUCAAAACGAAAAUGAUCUAUCGAUCUAGUAAGGUACCUCAAAGGUUCUGCAAUUUUUUUAAACAAAUAAAGGCUUUUUUUACAUCCACUAAAUGAUGCAGUAUUGUUCUAAUGUAUUUUCAUGAUAUUUAGCUCCUCUCAUAUAAGAUUUAUUUCCAUAAUGUUAAUGAAUGUUUUUUCGUAUCAUAUAAUGCAGGUGGGGAUAUUUUUAGAUAAAUUAUGUUAUUUCUCUGCAUAUUAUUACUUACUUAAAGUGUAUUUGGUUACAAUGCGGUUAUUGUGUUUAAAUUAUAAAUGUAAAUAAUUUUAUUUCUGCAGUAAAAUACUAUUUUCAAUCAGAUUUUAA
This is a long non-coding RNA of Mytilus californianus (California mussel), 1758 nucleotides long. RefSeq lists it as uncharacterized. Lineage: Eukaryota; Metazoa; Mollusca; Bivalvia; Mytilida; Mytilidae. The record is from RefSeq and is a predicted model, not a curated record. The transcript is spliced from 2 exons.